AGUGAACGCUGGCGGUAGGCCUAACACAUGCAAGUCGAACGGCAGCACAGUAAGAGCUUGCUCUUACGGGUGGCGAGUGGCGGACGGGUGAGGAAUACAUCGGAAUCUACUUUUUCGUGGGGGAUAACGUAGGGAAACUUACGCUAAUACCGCAUACGACCUACGGGGGAAAGCAGGGGAUCUUCGGACCUUGCGCGAUUGAAUGAGCCGAUGUGGGAUUAGCUAGUUGGCGGGGUAAAGGCCCACCAAGGGGACGAUCCGUAGCUGGACUGAGAGGAUGAUCAGCCACACUGGAACUGAGACACGGUCCAUACUCCUACGGGAGGCAGCAGUGGGGAAUAUUGGACAAUGGGCGCAAGCCUGAUACAGCCAUACCGAGUGGGUGAAGGAGGCCUUCGGGGUGGAAAGCCCUUUUGUUGGGAAAGAAAAGCAGCAGGUUAAUACCCCGCUGUUCUGACGGUACCCAAAGAAUAAGCACCGGCUAACUUCGUG
Molecule: ribosomal RNA, 492 nt
Filed under: uncultured bacterium
Lineage: Bacteria
Description: partial 16S ribosomal RNA
Rfam family: Bacterial small subunit ribosomal RNA
Source: RNAcentral